This 118-nucleotide ribosomal RNA is filed under the name uncultured bacterium. RNAcentral describes it as "partial 16S ribosomal RNA". It matches the Rfam family "Bacterial small subunit ribosomal RNA", at positions 157 to 291 of the family's 1533-position model. The record is from RNAcentral.
CGGCUGCUAAUACCCCAUAUGCCGCGAGGUGAAAUGAAUUUCGCCUGAGGAUGAGCUCGCGUCUGAUUAGCUAGUUGGUGUAGGUAAUGGCUCACCAAGGCAUCGAUCAGUAGCUGGU